UACGUAGGGGGCAAGCGUUGUCCGGAUUUAUUGGGCGUAAAGAGCGUGUAGGCGGCUUUACAGGUCCGUUGUGAAAACUCGAGGCUCAACCUCGAGACGCCGGUGGAAACCGUAAAGCUAGAGUCCGGAAGAGGAGAGUGGAAUUCCUGGUGUAGCGGUGAAAUGCGCAGAUAUCAGGAAGAACACCCGUGGCGAAAGCGGCUCUCUGGAACGGUACUGACGCUGAGGCGCGAAAGCGUGGGGAGCGAACAGG
RNAcentral lists this ribosomal RNA (253 nucleotides) under uncultured bacterium. RNAcentral describes it as "partial 16S ribosomal RNA". It matches the Rfam family "Bacterial small subunit ribosomal RNA", at positions 524 to 776 of the family's 1533-position model. The record is from RNAcentral.